This 497-nucleotide ribosomal RNA is filed under the name uncultured bacterium. RNAcentral describes it as "partial 16S ribosomal RNA". It matches the Rfam family "Bacterial small subunit ribosomal RNA", at positions 28 to 507 of the family's 1533-position model. The record is from RNAcentral.
GAUGAACGCUGGCGGCGUGCCUAAUACAUGCAAGUCGAGCGAACAGAUGAGGAGCUUGCUCCUCUGACGUUAGCGGCGGACGGGUGAGUAACACGUGGAUAACCUACCUAUAAGACUGGGAUAACUUCGGGAAACCGGAGCUAAUACCGGAUAAUAUAUUGAACCGCAUGGUUCAAUAGUGAAAGACGGUUUUGCUGUCACUUAUAGAUGGAUCCGCGCCGCAUUAGCUAGUUGGUAAGGUAAAGGCUUACCAAGGCAACGAUGCGUAGCCGACCUGAGAGGGUGAUCGGCCACACUGGAACUGAGACACGGUCCAGACUCCUACGGGAGGCAGCAGUAGGGAAUCUUCCGCAAUGGGCGAAAGCCUGACGGAGCAACGCCGCGUGAGUGAUGAAGGUCUUCGGAUCGUAAAACUCUGUUAUUAGGGAAGAACAAAUGUGUAAGUAACUAUGCACGUCUUGACGGUACCUAAUCAGAAAGCCACGGCUAACUACGUG